This is a non-coding RNA of Potamilus streckersoni, 74 nucleotides long. The record is from the annotation of a GenBank genome assembly. NCBI's taxonomy places the organism in Eukaryota, Metazoa, Mollusca, Bivalvia, Unionida, Unionidae.
AACUCCGGUGGCUUAAUGGUUAGAGCGUCAGCCUCGGAUGCGAGAUGUCGUGGGUUCGAUCCCAGGCCGAGUCA